AGAGUUCAGUUCGCCGCUUGCUUGCACUAUUUUCUAUUCCAAUUCUAUGUCAAAGUAAUCUCGUGGAGUUCCGACUUAACCAUUCGACUCGAAAUAAGUUUGAUUCAGCCAACACCGAUAAGUACUAUCAAUCAGAAGCCACAGAUAUAUAUGUCCUGUUUUCUUUUAGGGAGAUAGAGAAGUUGUUGUUCGAGAAAAGUACCCAAGAUAAGAUACUGGAGAAGAAGAGGAAUAAAUAAGCUAUAUCCACGGAGUAGUAAGAAGAUAGAAAAAAGAGAGAGUAAGUAGAACGAUCGGCUGCGGGAAAGUCAACCUGAUAUUAAGCAGGCGUUGCACUUGCAGAGGCGGAUGCACUAGCUGGACGGAGGCAGAGGAGAAAAGACAGAGGCAGACGAACUCAACACUUGAUAAGGACAGAGGCCCAGCCCUGUCAUAUAAGUGAAUUCUAUUUGUGGUGAGUACAGAGACCCCGAAAUCGUUGUUUCUAUUUGCUACUUUACUUAGAGCUGCGAGAUACCAUGACUUCUUGCCCUUGCUUGUGCCAGUGUUGUUUACGAGAAUGUCCGUCUUCCCGCUCCAAUAAGUAAAGCUCCUUACGCACUAAACUCAAUUACUCCCUAACAUAUGCUUCAUGAACGAGACGAGGAUUAUUGUGUUUGUUGUCGUGUAGUUCCUUUAAGUGUUGUCUAUGAUAAGAGAGAUUAUGAUGUUUCAUGUAUUUGAGUGUUAUGUUGUCAUGUAUUUGAGUGUUGUCUUUGUCUACACGAGAUAGGAUAACCAGAAUAUGGAUAAGAUUGGAGAGUAAGAGAUAGAUGCUUAAUGGAAAGUCAAGUAAUAGAGAUAGAUGGAAAGUCAAGUAAUAGAGAUAGAUGAUGAAUGGAAAGUUAUUAUCUGGAAGAAAAGGAAGACAAGAAAAGAAAUCAAUCCGAGGAAGCUAGCAGAGGUGUUACCAACCGAGGAAGCUAGCAGAGGUGUUACCAACCAGAGAGAGCGGAGGAAGUCAGAUGGGAGUUGGCUACUUAGUCUGGAUGCGCCAAGUAACGUAUAAUGUUACGCGGCAGCCCUGAAUAACUUGUUAUAACGAAUUAUGACCAAGUCCUGUUUUCAGUGGUAAGUGAGUAGAAUUCUUAUCUUAGAUCCAGAUGUCUUCGUUGCGGUAAGUUCAUCUAUUCCAGUACUUAGGGGUAGUUGUUUCAUGAAGUGACUAGGCUCGGGUAGUUUACCUAGGCUCGGGUAGUUUACUUACUUUGUGGGGUAGACUUGUGGAAGAAAAGGAAGAAAAUCAUCAAAACAAUAAAUUAGAAAAUGAAAAAAAGUAGAAAAGUCGUACAAUUUCUUCUAUACUAACUAAGUAGACAAACAGUAGGGAAAUAGUAGGGAAUAAUCUAAUAUAAAUAAGCUCUUUUCAAAGACGUCGGUUAACCAUCAAAGAACGGGAGCAAAGCCAAGAUAAUCAUAUAUAGAAGAAGAGAAGAACCAGUGCGGUAUCAAAGAACAGGCUAAAGUAUGAGAUCGCCAAAAGAGCAUGUGGUAUUGUAUAGAAACCCUUAUAGUAUGUUUCGGGUGCUCAAACUCAAGAAAGAAGAAAAGAAGUAGGGUCGGUCGGGCUUAUAAGAGUUAGGGUCGGGAAGCAGUUUAGGAGGUGGGCAAGUAGGAGUUACAGAAUUGACCUCAGUAGCCGGGAGAGGAGAAAAGAGUGAAAAGAGAAGAGAUGGGCCAGAGUCGAGGGAGAUGAGAGCCAGAAGUGGAGGAGACAGAGUUCACAGAGCAUAAGUUGAAAGCUGCCCUGAAGUUAAUGGUAUGAGUUUAAUCCCAAACAAGUAUACGAGUAGUUGCAUCUGUCUUUGUUGACAGAGCCAGAGGACAGGUCCCGUAUAGAGGUUCACUCAAAGGUCAGAGAUUGGACUCCGGUAUUUCACUCAUACUUUAGGGUGAUUCCGAGUGGCUUGGCUUCUUACUUACUAUGUGCUCGGGACGGGAGCCAUAACAGGAUUAGUUUACAGAGUCGAAGCUAACUCUCUCUGCUCUAGCUGGUUUACAGAGUCGAAGCUAACUCUCUCUGCUCUAGCUGUUAGUAACGAGUCCUGUCUUCG
Molecule: long non-coding RNA, 2093 nt
Filed under: Musa acuminata (dwarf banana)
Lineage: Eukaryota; Viridiplantae; Streptophyta; Magnoliopsida; Zingiberales; Musaceae
Description: long non-coding RNA (MACU_LNC010014)
Source: RNAcentral